Molecule: ribosomal RNA, 554 nt
Filed under: Gloeocantharellus corneri
Lineage: Eukaryota; Fungi; Basidiomycota; Agaricomycetes; Gomphales; Gomphaceae
Description: eukaryotic LSU rRNA
Source: RNAcentral
UCCGUAGGUGAACCUGCGGAAGGAUCAUUACCGUAUGGCUUACCCCCGCCGGGGUAACGAAACCACCUCUGGGGGGUCGCCUGGCCCCCCUCCAUAACGUAACGCAGCCUGUCCUCGCAUGUAUGUAACGUUGUCUUAAUGAAUACAACUUUCAACGACGGAUCUCUUGGCUUUCGCAUCGAUGAAGAACGCCGCGAAAGAGCGAAACGUAAUGUGAAUUGCAGAAUUCAGUGAAUCAUCGAAUCUUUGAACGCAUCUUGCGCUCCUUGGCAUUCCGAGGAGCAUGCCUGUUUGAGUGUCAUGAAACCUUCUCAACCCUGCCGGGGGUUGGACUUUGGACGCCUGCGGUGGGCCACCAUCGCUCGUCUUCAAACGCAUCAGCGGGUCCCGGGUCUCGUACGGGAAAACGGCGUGAUAAGGAAAAACGUCCGCUUUGACGCCGUCCGUACGAGCGUGGCCGCUCCUAGCCCGUCCCYUCUGGGACAACUCUGACAUCUGACCUCAAAUCAGGCAGGACUACCCGCUGAACUUAAGCAUAUCAAUAAGCGGAGGAA